This is a long non-coding RNA of Limulus polyphemus (Atlantic horseshoe crab), 373 nucleotides long. RefSeq lists it as uncharacterized. The record is from RefSeq and is a predicted model, not a curated record. The transcript has 3 exons. Lineage: Eukaryota; Metazoa; Arthropoda; Merostomata; Xiphosura; Limulidae.
AUACACAUUUGAGCGUAUCAGGCACUGAAAUACUGACUGUAAACCACUUGCAUGUGAAGACCACGUGAUUACUCGACUACUUAGCUAAACGUUACGCAGUUGUAAACGUGUUUUUAUUGUGAUGAGACGAUUUGUUUGGUUAAAACUGUAAACAAAAGUAUUUCCAAUUUAAUAACAGAGGUCUCCAUUUCAAACUAAUAUAUGAAUAGAAGACUUUCACUGUUGUAGUAAGAUAUUUGGAGGAAGCAGUCAUUAUGGGCUCAUACCGAAGUCGUGUGAUACAGCUUUACAAAAAUUUGUUGUAUUUGGGACGUGACUAUCCUAAAGGAUACGACUACUUUCGUACUCGUCUAAAGGCAGCAUUCAUGAAGAA